CGCCUGGGGAGUGCGGUCGCAAGAUUGAAACUCAAAGGAAUUGACGGGGGCCCGCACAAGCGGUGGAGCAUGUGGUUUAAUUCGAUGAUACGCGAGGAACCUUACCAGGGCUUAAAUGUUUCUGACAGCUUUAGAGAUAGAGUUUUCUUCGGACAGAAUACAAGGUGCUGCAUGGUUGUCGUCAGCUCGUGCCGUGAGGUGUCAGGUUAAGUCCUAUAACGAGCGCAACCCUUGUCGUUAGUUGCCAGCAUUUCAAAUGGGGACUCUAGCGAGACUGCCGGUGCAAACCGGAGGAAGUGGGGAUGACGUCAAAUCAUCACGGCCCUUACGUCCUGGGCCACACACGUGCUACAUGGUAUAGACAAUGAUAGCCACUACGCGAGUACGCGCGAUCUAUAACUAUAUCACAUUCGGAUCGAUCUGCACUCACUCCUGACUGGAUCCCAUAUCGGAUAUCACAUGAUCCGUGAUACUUCCGGGCUGACACACGCCGUC
Molecule: ribosomal RNA, 495 nt
Filed under: uncultured Tenacibaculum sp.
Lineage: Bacteria; Pseudomonadati; Bacteroidota; Flavobacteriia; Flavobacteriales; Flavobacteriaceae
Description: bacterial SSU rRNA
Rfam family: Bacterial small subunit ribosomal RNA
Source: RNAcentral